AACGAGACCUUAACCUGCUAACUAGCUGCUUGGAUUUUGUCCUGGUUUGCUUCUUAGAGGGACUCCUGUGCUUCAAGCGUGGGGGAAGUUUAAGGCAAUAACAGGUCUGUGAUGCCCUUAGAUGUCCUGGGCUGCACGCGCGCUACACUGAUGCAUCCAUCGAGUUUGUCCUGUCCCGAAAGGGUUGGGUAAUCUUUAGUGUGCAUCGUGUCGGGGAUUGAUUUUUGCAAUUCUAAAUCAUGAACGAGGAAUGCCUAGUAUGCGCAAGUCAUCAGCUUGUGCAGAUUACGUCCCUGCCCUUUGUACACA
Molecule: ribosomal RNA, 309 nt
Filed under: Babesia bigemina
Lineage: Eukaryota; Apicomplexa; Aconoidasida; Piroplasmida; Babesiidae
Description: SSU rRNA
Rfam family: Eukaryotic small subunit ribosomal RNA
Source: RNAcentral